RNAcentral lists this long non-coding RNA (435 nucleotides) under Mytilus galloprovincialis (Mediterranean mussel). Lineage: Eukaryota; Metazoa; Mollusca; Bivalvia; Mytilida; Mytilidae. The record is from RNAcentral.
UAGUGUAGCCGUCAUGUUUUACAUGGUACACUGUACCAAGUCAGGAAUGUGGUCAUUGUUAUAUUAUUUUUCGUUUCUGUGUGUGUUACAUUUCAACGUUGCGUCGUUUAUUUUCUCUUAUUUUUAGUGUAAAUUCACAUUGCGAUAAGACGUGUCACGGUACUUGUCUUUCCAAAUUCAUGUAUUGGUUUUGAUGUUAUAUUUGUUAUUCUCAUGGGGUUUUGUCUGAUGCUCGGUGUCGUUGUUCUCUUAUAUUUAAUGCGUUUCCCUCGGUUUUAGUUUGUUACCCCGAUUUUGUUUUUUGUCCAUGGAUUUAUGAUUUUGAACAGCGGUAUACUACUGUUGCCUUUAUUUACAAUACUAUAUUUAAUCAUUUGCUCUUUUUGUCAAUGCUAUACAUAUUCUUUUAGAAAACAAAAAUUAAAGUAUGUGACC